This 722-nucleotide non-coding RNA is filed under the name Pongo abelii (Sumatran orangutan). The record is from RNAcentral. Lineage: Eukaryota; Metazoa; Chordata; Mammalia; Primates; Hominidae.
CCACCAUACGACUGGAAUCACACAUACACCGCCACAAGAGGUCUGCAGUGAAGGUCCCAGAGUCCCAGACAAGUCCCCUCUUGUUGCCCAGGCUGGAGUGCAGCAGCAUGAUUACAGCUCACAUCAGCCUCGACCUCCCGGGCUCAAGCUAUCCUCCUACCUCAGCCUCCCAAGUAGCUGGGACUAUAGAUAAGACUGAAAGCAACACCAGCCAGUCUUGGGAAAUAUAAAAUUGCAAAUAAAUUUUGAUAAUUUUUCAUUUUGUAAAGGAUCUUUCUGCUGAUGCAGCUGUUAAGAGUGUUUCAUAAACUGUGACACUGAGCAAAAUCAUAGAAGGAAACUCUAUGGACAAUUUCAGAUGGAGAAGAAGAAAGGAUUGGAAGUUCAAUUUGGCCAUGACAAUUAGAGGCCAGGUGCAGUGCAUGUAAUCCCAGCACUUUGGGAGACUGAGAUGGGAAGAUCGCUUGAGGCCAGGAGUGCAAGACCAGCCUGGGCAACAUAGCAAGAACUUGACUCUACUAAAAAAAAAAAGGAUCCUUCAACUUCAACAAUAACAACACGAGGGAAGUGAAGAAAAACACUUUCUAAGGAAAUCUCUCUCUGAGCUACCAUCCGGCUAGGGAGAGCCUGAAAGCAGAAUGCUGACUUGACUAGCUCUGGCCAAUAAAGGAAAUCACCAGUGGAAAGGCUACCAGGGGGCUUCCUCAAAAGAGAGGGACGGU